GACCAGACUCCUACGGGAGGCAGCAGUGGGGGAUAUUGCACAAUGGGGGGAACCCUGAUGCAGCGACGCCGCGUGGGUGAAGAAGCGCCUCGGCGCGUAAAGCCCUAUCGGCAGGGAAGAAAUUGGACGGUACCUGACUAAGAAGCCCUGGCUAACUACGUGCCAGCAGCCGCGGUAAUACGUAGGGGGCAAGCGUUAUCCGGAUUCACUGGGUGUAAAGGGAGCGUAGACGGCCAUGCAAGCCUGGAGUGAAAGCCCGGGGCCCAACCCCGGGACUGCUCUGGGAACUGUGCGGCUGGAGUGCGGGAGGGGCAGGCGGAAUUCCUGGUGUAGCGGUGAAAUGCGUAGAUAUCAGGAGGAACACCGGCGGCGAAGGCGGCCUGCUGGACCGCGACUGACGUUGAGGCUCGAAAGCGUGGGGAGCAAACAGGAUUAGAUACCCGCGUA
Molecule: ribosomal RNA, 447 nt
Filed under: uncultured bacterium
Lineage: Bacteria
Description: bacterial SSU rRNA
Rfam family: Bacterial small subunit ribosomal RNA
Source: RNAcentral